GAAAUGCGAUAAGUAGUGUGAAUUGCAGAAUUUAGUGAAUCAUCGAAUCUUUGAAUGCACAUUGCGCCCUUUGGUAUUCCUUAGGGCAUGCCUGUUCGAGCGUCAUCUACACCCUCAAGCACAGCUUGGUGAUGGGCGCCUGUCCCGCCCCCCCGGGGGCCGCGGACUCGCCUCAAAUGCAUUGGCGGCCGGCGACCUGGCCUCGAGCGCAGCAGAAACGCGUACUCGGGGCCCGGGCGCCCGCUCCCAGAAGCCAACCCACCCAGUUUGACCUCGGAUCAGGUAGGGAUACCCGCUGAACUUAAGC
This 307-nucleotide unclassified non-coding RNA is filed under the name plant metagenome. RNAcentral's name for it is "partial contains 5.8S ribosomal RNA, internal transcribed spacer 2, and large subunit ribosomal RNA". The stretch from base 1 to 105 matches the Rfam family "5.8S ribosomal RNA", at positions 50 to 154 of the family's 154-position model. The record is from RNAcentral.